Molecule: RNase P RNA, 378 nt
Filed under: uncultured Succinivibrio sp.
Lineage: Bacteria; Pseudomonadati; Pseudomonadota; Gammaproteobacteria; Aeromonadales; Succinivibrionaceae
Description: Bacterial RNase P class A
Rfam family: Bacterial RNase P class A
About the family: Ribonuclease P (RNase P) is a ubiquitous endoribonuclease, found in archaea, bacteria and eukarya as well as chloroplasts and mitochondria. Its best characterised activity is the generation of mature 5'-ends of tRNAs by cleaving the 5'-leader elements of precursor-tRNAs.
Source: RNAcentral
GAGUCGGCCGGGCAACCGCUGCCGUGUACGCGUGUCUUAGACAUACGGUCACUGGGGGAGGAAAGUCCGAGCUCCAUAGGACGGGGUGCCAGGUAACGCCUGGAGAGCGCAAGCUCAUGACUAGUGCAACAGAGAGUAGACCGCCUAAGUGUGAAAACACCGGCAAGGGUGAAAGGGUGCGGUAAGAGCGCACCGCCUUCUUAGUAAUAAGAAGGGCACGGUAAACUCCACCCGGAGCAAGAUCGAAUAGGUUUCCAUAUGGUGUGGUCCGCACCGGAGACGGGUUGAUUGCUGGAACCGGUGAGCGAUUGCCGGUCUAGAGGAAUGGUUGCCACUGCAAUAUAACGCAGCACAGAACUCGGCUUACAGGCCGGCUCA